Molecule: long non-coding RNA, 251 nt
Filed under: Penaeus japonicus
Lineage: Eukaryota; Metazoa; Arthropoda; Malacostraca; Decapoda; Penaeidae
Description: uncharacterized LOC122264848
Source: RNAcentral
AAAAGAAAAAAAAGUUAUUUCGACCGAGGACCGAGGACUAAGCUACCGAAAGGGAAGCCGACAACUUCGCACAAGUCUCUAAGAAUUUCGGGGGACAUCAACGCCCUCUUGUGACGAGAGAGAGAGACACGUGACCUGCAAGAGAGAUUCAAGGGGGAUACGUGGCCGAAGUUCAACACAGGUGGAAUGGAGUGACAGCUGUUCACGUCAAGAUGAACGGAAGGAAUAGCAAGGGUCAGCUGAUGAUAAAG